Molecule: long non-coding RNA, 3257 nt
Filed under: Homo sapiens (human)
Lineage: Eukaryota; Metazoa; Chordata; Mammalia; Primates; Hominidae
Description: non-protein coding LINC01572:3
Source: RNAcentral
CUGGGAGACGUUUGAGACCCAGCGUCUCUAGAUCUCGUAUUUGAAUUUGUGGCGCUUGGUGUCCGCGAGUUGCCGAAUGAAGCUGAGCGUCUCAGUGGAACCAGGGAUCUCAGGGUUUAAGAUGAGGUCAGUGAUCCUAGCCUAGCCCUUGGCUCUUCCUGUAUAUAAGAUAAAUUCUGAGGGAUUAGUGACUAUGCCUCUGUAAUCAGUAACAAGAUGUACUCUCACACCCAAACUUUGAUGGCACUUUGCUCUAACGUAACUUGUGAGCAUGUUUAAUGUAACUUAUGAGCAGAUGCAGAACUGCCACCCCCUGAUACAGGGGCUGAAAUACUGCUUGGGAAUCUCUCUGAAAGAUUCUCCUGGGUUACAGUCUUCAGUAAGACUGAAUAAAACUAAAUUUUCUUUUUUAAAAGCCUGAUUUUUUUCCUUUAGUUGACAAUCCAUUUGAAGUUUGUACUAUUCUGUGCCUCUUAGUUAUGCCAUAGACAUGGAUUAUGAGGGUUUUUUCAGUUAAUUUUUUUUUCUUUUAGCAAUACCCAUGUAGCCUCAUCUCUUCAUUAUUUUUAAAGUUUUAUGGAGGUUAUGUGGAGGCAUUUGGAUUUAGGUGGUUACCAUGUUUUUUAGGGGAAGCUAUAGUUCUCUUCUGCAGUAGAAAACAGAUGAAUACACCUAGAUUUCUUCCUGCGUGAAUCCAGUUGUUUUUUUUUUUUUUUUUUUUUUAGAGAUAGUGUUUCGCCAUAUUGCCUAGGCUGAUAUUGAACUCCUGGAUUCAAACAGUCCACCUGCCUCAGCCUCCCAAAAUGCUGGGAUUGCAUGGGAUUACAGAUAUGUGCCACCACACCCAGCCUCCAGUGCUUCUUACUAUUUUCCUGUUAGCUUUUACAAGAUGGCUUACCUCUUACUUCACCAAGAAAGUAGGGGCAAUCUGGAGGGAACUCCCUUUGCUCCUGCUAGGCACCCUUAUCGCUCCUCAAUAUUUAGAAAUGUUACCCAUAACUAUCCUUCUUUUCCUGUCUCCUGUUAAAGCUUCGCUUUCAUCCCCUUCUGUCUUCUCAGGGGAAGGUAUAAAAUUUUCAAAUGGAGGAGUAUACCUGAACCUAAUCAUGGAUGUGAUUUUAUGUAAGUAAUAUGUGAGAUACAGAUAAGCUGAUUCUAAAACUUACAAGAAUGGCAAAGAAACAAGAAGAGCUUAAACUGGCAAUCAUCAACAGAGAAGCUUUCUGCAACCAAAGAGUGAAGACUGAAGCCUUAGGCUAUGGCAGAAGUUGGGCGCCUGAAGUACACGUGGAAAUAUGCCAACUGAACAUUGGACUACCACGUCAAGGGUCUCCUACCCCUGGGCCAUGGAUCAAUACCAGUCUGUGACCUGUUAGGAACCGGUAGCAGGAGGUGAGUAGCAGCCUAGCGAGCACUACUGCCUAAGCUCCACCUCCUGUCAGAUCAGUAGUGACAUGAGAUUUUCAUAGGAGCAGAAACCCUAUUGUGAACUCCAAACACAAGGGAUCUAGGUUAUGCACUACUUAUGAGAAUCUAAUGCCUGAUGAUCUGAGGUGGAACAGUUUCAUCCUGAAACCACCGCCCCCAUGUGUGGAAAAAUUGUCUUCCACAAAACUGGUCCCUGGUACCAAGAGCUUUCACAUUCCAAUAAAAAUGCUAAAUCAGCGCUACACCAGAAUUGUUAUGGCGUAAAUAGCUAGUCACAUUUAAAGGAGGAAAAGAUAUAGAAAUAUCAACCAGACUAUGUAACGUUAGAUGAAUUUGACUUUAUAGAAAUGGAGUUGCACAUUUAUAUGCUUGUGAACACAUGAAGAGCAGUGUGAAGAAGUGUCAGGCAUAAUACUAAGUAUACACACUACAUCAAGAUACACCUCUGUUUUUCUAAGUAUGCGAUCAUUUGCCUUCAGUAUGUGAUAGAAGAUGAUUUAGCUUUGUAUGAAUGUGUCCAUUUUAGGAAGAUCAACUCAGUUUUUGUUCAUGUGUUUAUUUUCAUAAAGAGCACAUAAGCUGUUGCUGUCAUUUGUAUUAACUUCGUUAAAUUAUGCUUGUCUUAUUGUACAUCAUCUAUCAGUAAUUAGGAUAGUCUUUGAAAUUCUCUGUGUCAGAUAUUAUUUCUUUAUUUGUUUAUAUUUACAGAUCUGAUUUAUUUUAAAAUAAAUGGUCACACAAUCAAAAAAUUUUAUUACACCAUCAUCCACAAACAGUUAUCACAUGCUGGUGCUCACUUUACACAUAUGCCAUUUUGGCUGAUGCACUCACCCCAUGGAACCUAUUGUUUACCAACAGGGCCUAAGAAUCCGUAUCUUUUUUUGAGGAUUAACUCUAUAAAGCAGAUCUUGUCCCUUCUUACCAUGUGUACAUGGGAAUUAUCAACCUUAAACCUGUAUCUUUUUCUGAGACCCUAUUGGGAAUAAGAUAGCUCCUUCUGUUUCAGUUUACAGAGAGAAACCUGACAUUGGCAGUCAUUCUUCAGAAACAAUAGCUUUAUCCUGAUAUCUGGUUUUUUCCUAAGGACAAAUAAGCAGGUACAGGCUUACCUUAAAGGGCAAAAUGGAGAAAACAAAUAAAAACCAAAGAAGAAAAAUCUAUCGUCUUCAGUUAUCUAUGGAUAUUUGACUUAUCCAGUUGUUAACAAUUGGCUUUUAGGUUCCUAAUACAGCUCCUAGAAUUACCGCCUGCCCCUGGCUCAGCGCCCGGUGCCAACAGAACACCUUUCAGGAUCCACAGCAACGCAGACAACGUAAGUACCAGCCGUUCCCUGAAACCCUUUUGCAGAUUUUUUAAAAACAACCACCUAAAACAUAGAGAGAGAGAGACAAGCCUCUUUCCCCUUCUUCUCCCCUGCGUUAUGCCACCAGUGUUUCCUCAGUAGCCCCUUCCAAAUCGCUCUGCCUUCAAGUUUGUGCAUGUCUGUGUGGCAUCCCUCCUCCUCCUUCACUCCCAUAGUGGAUCUUGUAAAAGGGCUUCAGAUCGGCCCCAUUCAUCUCCCUGGUGAUAGCAGUGAAUGUAGAUAAAUCUCUGGCUGCCUGCUUGCUGCUGGAGUAUGAUUUUUAUUUUGUCUUCUGUGUAUACCUGGGUCAAAAAGUGGGAUGUAUGCAUACACAUACAUGCACAUACACAUAUUUCCUUCUCUCUCCUCUCUCUCCCUCCUUUUUCUCACACAUGCAUACAUCCUACAUAUGUGUGUAUAUGCAUAAACAUAUACACCUAUAUACAUACCCAUACCUGUAGCACAAAAUAUAUACAUAUCUAAACGU